Long non-coding RNA from Oncorhynchus tshawytscha (Chinook salmon), 3223 nucleotides. The record is from Ensembl. Lineage: Eukaryota; Metazoa; Chordata; Actinopteri; Salmoniformes; Salmonidae.
CUUGCGGCGUCAUUACGUUGACUACACAACAACGUUCCUCAAAUUAUGACAGAGGAAAAUGGGUUGUGGCAUUUAGAGGGAAAAUGCGUGCAUUAUAGCUUUGAGUUACUUUUCAAAAGUGGCUAAAAGUUCCAAAUACAUUUUUUUUAAAGGAGCUGAAUAUCGUAAGGAUAGUCUGAAAAGAUGCUACAGCUAGCAACAGAAUUGCUGGGUGUUCCAUUGGGCUAUAUUUGGCUAUAAUAUAGGGAGGUAAGAACAGUUGAAUCGUAAAAAGUUGUGGUUGUUUCCCGGGUAUUGAUUUUUGGUUAGGUAACGCCAGUGAAUUCGAACAAGAAGUUAACGUAUUCUAAACAUGAUCUGUUUUCAUUACGGGGAACAAUGAAAUGUCUACAAUAGGGUAUGGCUGGCUGGGGAAUGUUUUAUUUUAAAGGGACAGUGCACGUUUAUCACAAUUGUUUGAGUGUAAUGGCAGGGUAUAGAGUAUUUUGGGGCGACAAUUUGGAGAUAGACUGAAUGAGUUACAUGAAACAUUGAGGAAAUUUAAAACAAAUGAUUUGAAGGGAUUAUCAUAAUUAUUAGGUUUUGUUUUUGUAGUAAACGUUUGGGGGAUUUCCCUGUUCCCAGAGACAAGAUAUCUUAAAGGGGUACACUCACAUAUGGAAUAUUAGGAGUUUUAUUUUCUGAGUUUUAAUUAGACAAGUGAAUAAACAUGUUUAAAGGUAAAGGGUUCUUUAAUAUGGUAUGGAAAACGAAUGUAAAGGGGUGGUGAACCUUUGACCAAGCUGCCAUGGCUCUCCCAGUUGGUCUGAUCAGCCACAGGGGGGAGCCAUUUGAAUAAUGAAUUUGUAGUCAUGGGAGAUACUGGGUUUUUAAAGUAAAUUUAUUAUAAUGGAGUUUAUAGUACUGCAACAGGAACAGAAAUCAUAUUAAUCAUCGAUAAUAAAUGGGGGAGGAUGGUCCUUUGAGGUUUGGACAGGACACCGUUAUUAAGCCAAUAGGGCAGGAAAAUACAUGAUAGAAAGGCGAUUUUAUAAGCAUAAAAAUUAUUUCUGAAAAUAAGUUGCAGUUCUUAGGGAUGGUAAAUUACUGUAGAUAAGGUGUCAAACUCCUACUGAAGAUUCCCUUAUACCCGACUUUUCCCCAGCUGUGAGCGUUCAUAGAAGUGAAAGUGUGUCUUGGCCUCUUGCUGAUGAUAUGUUUUCCAGGAAAAGGGUGGGGCUUCAUCAGAGGGCUGUUUGUCUGAGCUGUCUUAUCGUGGGUGCCAUAUUCCUGAUACAGCACGUCCCACCUGAGUAUGAAGGAGAGUGGUAAUUUGACCCAUGGUUUAGACGAUGAGGAUUUUGUUCCAAAACAAGCAUAAGAGAUCCCUAGAUCUGGGUAGACAGUAAGUUAGAGGUUGGGAAGGAUGUCUCAAUGGAGUUCUAUGUAGACCAAAUGGGGUCUCUAACUACAUGGCAGUCUAGGACUCUGAGCCAUUAUGGUAUAUAUCAGUGCAGGUCCCAGCUCAUACAGAGAGAGAGGGUUAUAUGAAUCCACUCACCCAGUAUGGAAGGAGGUGGAGUAUAGUGAAGGUUCCCCUUAAAUCAAGACUUCCUCCCUUUACAGUGACCGGAGGAGAUUAUUACUGUUUGGCCCGGUACAGUACUCUUGGGAAAUAUGUAGGGGAAGUUAGUACCUGCAAUUGGACAGAGAAUAUUACCACUGAUGAGACCAUGUCUAAUUUGACAGGCUGGUUGAACUCUGGGGAUUUCAAUAAGGUAAAGUGGGCCAGGGCUAACAUCUGGAGGUUGUGUGGGGGAAUAAUGGACAGGAUUAUGCUCCCUUGUACAUUUGAGAAUGCCUUUCACACUCAUUCAACACCAAGACAUGAAGUUGGCCAAACGGGAGAAAAUAAGUACUCCAUCUGGUUCUUUUAACCAGAGAGUAGAUUUUGAUAACAUUGGGGUUCUACGGGGGAUACCAGACGAGUUCAAAGCAAGAAAUCAGAUCGUAGCAGGAUUAGAGUUAAGUAUUUUCUAGUGGUCCACACUCAAAUAAGAAUGUGAACUGGAUCAAUUAUAGUUAGGAUAAUCCACAGCGCUCCGUCAAUUAUACCAGAGAUGUAAUGAAUGAAUUGGCAGAAUAUAAUUCAUCUUGGAUAAGUUUGUUGGCUGGAAAGGGUGAGAGUGGGUGUAGAUGGUUUGUUCCUCGAUGGCACAGCUCCGGGCGAAUCAGUGACCAAAGCCUCAGCUGGUUUUACCACCCUGGCUCACGGUUUGGCAGAAAACUCUGGGGUGGAUAUUUCUUUGACUAAUUGGUUUGAUAGUAUGUUUGGAAAAUGGAAAACUGUUAUGAUCCCUGUAUUAUGGGUUACCUUCAUCGGUGUGGCUGUUUUAGUUUUAUGUGGCUGUUGUCUAAUUCCCUGUGUACGAGGCCUUAUUUCCAGGACUCUGGAGAAAUUGAUGACACAACAGAUGGUGAGGUACGGGCCGAUUCCAAGUUCUGACCCGUGGAGUGAUGAAUGCAUGUCUACAGAACAAGUAGACUAAUCUGGAUUCUUCAUAUGCGAGGAAUUUAUGUUUUUAUUUAGAGCAUUUUGAUAUUUAGAGAUGUUAGGUUGUAUCUUGUUUCGAUGAAGAUUGUAACAAAAAUUCUGAUGAGAAGAGUUAUGAUUCUGAUGUUGGCCUAAAAACAGUCAGUGUGAAUGCAAGUAUUGGGUUAUGUUUGGGUGAUAUUUUGAUAACAAGAAAUAUUUCUAAUAAAAAUAGAAGUAUGCUUUUUAAUAUUUUAAUAAAACUAGAUGUGUGAUUGGAUGUAUAAUAUUUAAUCUUAGGGUGGAUAUGUUAAGGGAUUUUUUAUCAAUAAUUACUAAUUAUGUAUACAUUUCAAUCAGGACUGACUAAUCAGAAUACUAUUAUGUUACUGUAUAGAUGUAUGAAUUUUCUUUUAAUCCUAGUACUGAAUAUAAUGUGUGUAAUUAUAAUCAAGAAGUAGAACAAUGACUGUCUGUUCCUUGGUAGAAAUGAAUGAAUUUAUCGUCAGACUGGCUAGAAUGCUUAUCUACACAGGCAGACCUUGGCUCGGGUCAUAAAUUAUCUAAGUUUGGGGGAGACGGUGUGGGAAGUCUUGAGAACUAUACAGCCAUUGUACUGGAGUGGAGAUGAGAUGGGGUAGUACGAAAACUAAUGACGACAUUUUCAGUUUAUAACCUGAGGUAAACUGUAUCAUGUUCAGUACUCUCAAG